UUCUGGCUCAGGAUGAACGCUGGCGGCGUGCCUAAUACAUGCAAGUCGAACGAGAGUGCUUGCACUCGAGUGGCGAACGGGUGAGUAACACGUAGGUAACCUGCCUUACAGUUUGGGAUACCCGAGGGAAACCUUGGCUAAUACCGAAUAAUUCUUUUGGAGGCAUCUCCAGAAGCUAAAAGGGCCUUUAAAGCCUCGCUGAAUGAUGGACCUGCGGCGCAUUAGUUAGUUGGUGAGAUAACAGCCCACCAAGGCGAGGAUGCGUAGCCGACCUAAGAGGGUGAACGGCCACACUGGAACUGAGACACGGUCCAGACUCCUACGGGAGGCAGCAGUAGGGAGUUUUCGGCAAUGGGGGAAACCCUGACCGAGCAACGCCGCGUGAACGAUAGAAGGUCUUCGGAUUGUAAAGUUCUGUUAUAAGGGAAGAAUGAUAGCUUGAGGAAAUGCUAGUUAUUUGACGGUACCUUAUUAGAAAGCCACGGCUAACUACGUGCCAGCAGCUGC
This 507-nucleotide ribosomal RNA is filed under the name uncultured bacterium. Its description in RNAcentral is "bacterial SSU rRNA". It matches the Rfam family "Bacterial small subunit ribosomal RNA", at positions 17 to 518 of the family's 1533-position model. The record is from RNAcentral.